Molecule: ribosomal RNA, 119 nt
Filed under: Pteropus alecto (black flying fox)
Lineage: Eukaryota; Metazoa; Chordata; Mammalia; Chiroptera; Pteropodidae
Source: RNAcentral
AUCUAUGGCCAUGCUACCCUGAACAAGCCCGAUCCUGUCUGAUCUUAGAAGCUAAGCAGGGUCGGGCCUGGUUAGUACUUGGAUGGGAGACCACCUAGGAAGACCAGGUGCUGUAGGUG